Molecule: long non-coding RNA, 962 nt
Organism: Bactrocera dorsalis (oriental fruit fly)
Lineage: Eukaryota; Metazoa; Arthropoda; Insecta; Diptera; Tephritidae
Exons: 3
Source: RefSeq, a predicted model, not a curated record
CGCGCAAGUAUGGGUGCGUACGUGUGGGUAGUCAGGAAGGUGGUGCUUUUUCGUUUAUAACUUCGUCAUUUAUGGACCGAUCUUAAAGAAUGAGGUGUCAUAUGAAAGCUUAACGCUUGACGGAAAAUUCAAGCUAAAAAAAUUUGUAAAAAUAUUGUUGCAUAAUCAUGAUAUUCUGAAAAUAAAAAUCCAACGCCGAUUUUUGCCUAUAACUUCGUUAUUAAUGGACGGAGCUUAAAGAAUGGACGGAUCGAAUUUAUGCCCCGAGUCCAGGGGCAAAUUCCGGUGGUCGAAUUUUCGAAAUUGGUUCAGUAGAUUUCGAAAAAAGUGUAUUUUACGUCGACUAGUUACAUUUGAGUAAUAUGACGGUAAUUUCGCGGGUUUUUUCGAUUUUUCUCGGAAACGGCUGGAGGAAUAUUGUUUCCGAUAAUUUCUAUUUAUAGCCCGGAGCUUGGGCUACAAUCCUGGCACGAUGGAUUUUUCAGGGUGCAAUCCUGUAAUUCAGGAAAAUUCGAGACCUGAACCCAGAGUGCAUUUUUUACCACAAAACUGCUUCUUACGCGAUGACGGAGUCACCUAGGGUAUGCGAAACAUACAUGGAAUUUAUGCCCCGAGUCUAGGGGCAAAUUCCGGUAGUCGAAUUUUCGAAAUUGGUUCAGUAGAUUUCGAAAAAAGUGUAUUUUUAACUUUUGAUUAAUAAACUUUAAAAUCAUAGCUAAAGGUUGAAUUUUCUUAAAAUUUUUUCUUUGGAAUGGCUUCAUAUACAGUUAAGGUAGUCUGUUUUAUGCAUGAUAAGGACUUUUUAGCAGAAUUUAUACACUUUUUCUUAAAAAAACGGCGAUUUUUUUUUUGCAAGUCAAAUAUCUCAAAUAAAUCUUUAAUGCCUAUCAAGGAAGGGUAACCCAUCAGCUGCGCUAAGCGAUAAGCUUUCAUAUGACACCUCAUUCUUUCAAAUCGGACCA